UACGUAGGGUGCGAGCGUUACUCGGAAUUACUGGGCGUAAAGCGUGCGCAGGCGGUUUUUUAAGCCAGAUGUGAAAUCCCCGGGCUCAACCUGGGAAUGGCAUUUGGGACUGCAAGGCUCGAGUGCGGCAGAGGAGACUGGAAUUCCUGGUGUAGCAGUGAAAUGCGUAGAUAUCAGGAGGAACACCGAUGGCGAAGGCAGGUCUCUGGGCCACUACUGACGCUGAGAAGCGAAAGCAUGGGGAGCGAACAGG
RNAcentral lists this ribosomal RNA (253 nucleotides) under uncultured bacterium. Its description in RNAcentral is "partial 16S ribosomal RNA". It matches the Rfam family "Bacterial small subunit ribosomal RNA", at positions 524 to 776 of the family's 1533-position model. The record is from RNAcentral.